Molecule: long non-coding RNA, 1018 nt
Filed under: Homo sapiens (human)
Lineage: Eukaryota; Metazoa; Chordata; Mammalia; Primates; Hominidae
Description: HSALNT0031935
Source: RNAcentral
AUGAUUUGCAAGAGGAACUGCUACACAUUUUACACUUAUUUACUCCAACCUUUCCUGCUAAUUCCAGGUUUAUUGGUUCACCUGACAUCCUUUCAAGGAACCCUAUGAAUGAGACCCUACCAAUAUGAGGUACCGUGAGGAACAUGGACAAGUACCACAUGGAGCCCCUUCUUUUAGAAAUUGACAUUAUCUAUUUGAUAGAUUUUAGAUAUUUAGACAAGUAAAACACUAAUCUGCAAAAAACGCAAACGCAGUUCAAGAAAAUAGCACAAUAUGUGGCAACAAAGGUGUAAUUAAAUAUCUAAGUGAUUUCACAGGAGAUCAGGAUUGCUUCUGUCUAGCAGAGUAAGAUAAAUCUGCUUGGAAGAGAUGGAAUCUGAAAUGGGAGUCUAAACCCGAAAACUUUCUUACACCGCUAUGUCAGAGAGAAGAUGGAGAGAAGGUGCACAUUAUAAAAUGAUGGUCCAGUCCAUGUUCAGAUGUAGUGAAGUAUUUGUUGUUUGUGGUACAGCAAAUAUGCAAGUUUGUUUACUCAACAAGAAACUGAUUUCUGGAGUGUUCUAAUGCAAGAAAGCAUCUUUCUUAUUUUUUAAAUAAUUAUUAUGUUUCAAAUUGCUGAGAAAUACCCUCUGGAAGCUUUUUUUCUGCACAAUAGCACCAUUCUAAAUAUUAAUAGAAAUCUUUUAUGGUGGUGGGGAGGUUUACAAAUUUUAUUUUUUAGGUAAGCUUAGUUAUAUUGAAGUAUAACUUGUACAGAGAAGUCUGCAGAUUAUAAAUUCAGUAUAUGCAAUUUUUACAAUGGAAAACACCUAUGAACCAGCAUCAAAAUAAAAAUCAAACCUUACAAGAGAUGCUGAAAUUUCUAUUGCAUCUCUUAGUCCUUAACCAAAGAUAAUCACUCCUGGAACUUCUCUUACUAUAGUCUCCCAAAUUCUAAACCUUAUAAAACAAAUGUGUACUCUUCUAUAUCUGAUUUCAUUUACUGAAGAACACUGUUGCGUGCAAAAAAAAAUCUGUA